Molecule: ribosomal RNA, 253 nt
Filed under: uncultured bacterium
Lineage: Bacteria
Description: partial 16S ribosomal RNA
Rfam family: Bacterial small subunit ribosomal RNA
Source: RNAcentral
UACGUAGGGUGCAAGCGUUAAUCGGAAUUACUGGGCGUAAAGCGUGCGCAGGCGGUUAUGUAAGACAGUUGUGAAAUCCCCGGGCUCAACCUGGGAACUGCAUCUGUGACUGCAUAGCUAGAGUACUGGAGAGGAGAUUGGAAUUUACGGUGUAGCAGUGAAAUGCGUAGAUAUCGUAAGGAAGACCAGUGGCGAAGGCGAAUCUCUGGACAGUUACUGACACUGAGGCUCGAAGGCCAGGGGAGCAAACGGG